This 229-nucleotide ribosomal RNA is filed under the name uncultured bacterium. Its description in RNAcentral is "partial 16S ribosomal RNA". It matches the Rfam family "Bacterial small subunit ribosomal RNA", at positions 568 to 796 of the family's 1533-position model. The record is from RNAcentral.
UACGUAGGCGGAAAAUUAAGUCAGUAGUGAAAUCCUGCAGCUUAACCGUAGAACUGUUAUUGAUACUGGUUUUCUUGAAUAUAGUUGAGGUAGGCGGAAUGUGUAAUGUAGCGGUGAAAUGCUUAGAUAUUACACAGAACACCGAUUGCGAAGGCAGCUUACUAAGCUACUAUUGACGCUGAGGUACGAAAGCGUGGGGAGCGAACAGGAUUAGAUACCCUGGUAGUCC